This 418-nucleotide ribosomal RNA is filed under the name bacterium 28S132. RNAcentral describes it as "bacterial SSU rRNA". It matches the Rfam family "Bacterial small subunit ribosomal RNA", at positions 1044 to 1469 of the family's 1533-position model. The record is from RNAcentral.
CAUGGCUGUGUUCCAGCUCGUGCCGUGAGGUGUUAGGUUAAGUCCUGCAACGAGCGCAACCCCUGUCACUAGUUGCCAUCAUUAAGUUGGGGACUCUAGUGAGACUGCCUACGCAAGUAGAGAGGAAGGUGGGGAUGACGUCAAAUCAUCACGGCCCUUACGCCUUGGGCCACACACGUAAUACAAUGGCCGGUACAGAGGGCAGCUACACAGCGAUGUGAUGCAAAUCUCGAAAGCCGGUCUCAGUUCGGAUUGGAGUCUGCAACUCGACUCUAUGAAGCUGGAAUCGCUAGUAAUCGCGCAUCAGCCAUGGCGCGGUGAAUACGUUCCCGGGCCUUGUACACACCGCCCGUCAAGCCAUGGAAGUCUGGGGUACCUGAAGUCGGUGACCGUAACAGGAGCUGCCUAUAGUUACCCU